AUUGAACGCUGGCGGCAUGCCUUACACAUGCAAGUCGAACGGUAACAGGUCUUCGGAUGCUGACGAGUGGCGAACGGGUGAGUAAUACAUCGGAACGUGCCCAGACGUGGGGGAUAACGAGGCGAAAGCUUUGCUAAUACCGCAUACGAUCUAAGGAUGAAAGCAGGGGACCGCAAGGCCUUGCGCGUUUGGAGCGGCCGAUGGCAGAUUAGGUAGUUGGUGGGAUAAAAGCUUACCAAGCCGACGAUCUGUAGCUGGUCUGAGAGGACGACCAGCCACACUGGGACUGAGACACGGCCCAGACUCCUACGGGAGGCAGCAGUGGGGAAUUUUGGACAAUGGGCGAAAGCCUGAUCCAGCAAUGCCGCGUGCAGGAUGAAGGCCUUCGGGUUGUAAACUGCUUUUGUACGGAACGAAAAGGCUCUGGCUAAUACCUGGGGCACAUGACGGCACCGUAAGAAUAAGCACCGGCUAACUACGUG
RNAcentral lists this ribosomal RNA (482 nucleotides) under uncultured bacterium. RNAcentral describes it as "partial 16S ribosomal RNA". It matches the Rfam family "Bacterial small subunit ribosomal RNA", at positions 30 to 507 of the family's 1533-position model. The record is from RNAcentral.